Carya illinoinensis is the source of this 1360-nucleotide RNA transcript. It is a transcript of the gene named RING-H2 finger protein ATL40-like, with no coding region annotated. The transcript is spliced from 3 exons. The record is from RefSeq and is a predicted model, not a curated record. NCBI's taxonomy places the organism in Eukaryota, Viridiplantae, Streptophyta, Magnoliopsida, Fagales, Juglandaceae.
ACGGAGCUCCAAAAAUGUCAAACCUCAUAGAGGCAUGGGGUACAAAAUUUCCAUACCCACCAAAUUUCUCGAAACCCCACCAAUUGACAUUUCCACGAUUUGCGAGAACAAAGUAGUACGUAAAACAAAUAAAACUCGUUGCUGUUAAUCAAGCAAGUAUAGAGAAGUUGAUCAUCACAGAAAGAGAGGCAAGGCCAAGGCAUACACCUUGGUCGAUCAUUCAAAUUGGGAUUAACGAUGAGUUCUGAGGACGAUGAUAUAGAUAGCAAAUCUGCUGUCGGCCGGGAGAUCUUGAUCGCUGCUAUAUUCUCCGUACUUGCCGUAUUGAUUUUUAUCAUCAUCCUCCGUACAUAUGCAAGGUAUCUCUCAAGAAGCCAAGAAAGAACACGGCGUGAUAUCUUGAAUAGGGUAAGUACACUAGCUCAAAUUGCAUCGGUCGACUUGGCGGAUUCUGUCUAUCCACCGGCCGAGACUGCCGGAGGGCUCGAUCCAUUAGUCAUAGCCUCACUACCUAAGUUCACCUACAAAGCAGCUGAUGCCCUCGAUCAAAGUGAAGUUAUAGAGUGCUCAGUUUGCUUGAGCAGCAUAGAAGAGGAGGCCAUGGUUCGGCUUCUACCAAACUGUAAGCACAUGUUUCAUGUGGAGUGCAUCGAUGUUUGGCUCAACUCAAACAAAACUUGCCCCGUCUGCCGCACUGUGGCUGAUCCUAAGGUCCAGCCAGAACGCAAUGACAUAGGUAUUAUUGGGGUUCAACGUCCCACAGCUCCACCAAUAGAGAAUAGUACUAUACCGCAUGGUGCUGCCGAGUUGGAGAAGGCAGGUGGAUCCGGAUCAGGCUCACGAUUAAGCUCUUUUCGUAGGAUGCUUAGUAGGGGGAGAUCGUCGAGGAGGAUUCAGAGUUUUGAAGAUCAUCAUGAAAUGGGUUCGGAAGAUCUAGAAAGACAAUGAUUGCCUCCUAUUGAUAUCACCUUAAUCGAAGAUCAUAAACAAGCUAGUACUAUAGUUUUCUAAUUUCAUCUUUGUAUGCAAUUAAAGAAUGUUGCGAUUGAUGCACGUAGAGGACAUCUGCCUCAUUUUGUGGAAAUUUAUCACUUCAAUCAGACCACUGCAAAGUUAUAGGUCUAAAUAUUGCCCAAUUGCAUCGUAUCUACAAUCAACCGCGAGAGCAAUUCAUGAUGAUAACGGACUUGGGGAUGAAGUUGGGAUCCUCUUCAUGAUGAAACAAGAUUAUAAUCUGACAACCCAUGUGAAUGUCCUCCAAAUUAAGUCGCUUGAUUUCAACAGAAAGUACUGUUAAAUUCCCUUGUAUAAUAUAUUAAUGAAGCUUCACGUGAUGUAAGUUUGACACUCGGCAGAAAGA